This 700-nucleotide ribosomal RNA is filed under the name Gammaproteobacteria bacterium. RNAcentral's name for it is "bacterial SSU rRNA". It matches the Rfam family "Bacterial small subunit ribosomal RNA", at positions 56 to 762 of the family's 1533-position model. Lineage: Bacteria; Pseudomonadati; Pseudomonadota; Gammaproteobacteria. The record is from RNAcentral.
UGCAGUCGAGCGGUAGGCCCUUCGGGGUACACGAGCGGCGAACGGGUGAGUAACACGUGAGCAACCUGCCCCCGACUCCGGGAUAAGCGGUGGAAACGCCGUCUAAUACCGGAUACGACACACCGCCUCAUGGCGGUGUGUGGAAAGUUUUUCGGUCGGGGAUGGGCUCGCGGCCUAUCAGCUUGUUGGUGGGGUAACGGCCUACCAAGGCGAUUACGGGUAGCCGGCCUGAGAGGGCGACCGGCCACACUGGGACUGAGACACGGCCCAGACUCCUGCGGGAGGCAGCAGUGGGGAAUAUUGCGCAAUGGGCGAAAGCCUGACGCAGCGACGCCGCGUGGGGGAUGACGGCCUUCGGGUUGUAAACCUCUUUUACCACCAACGCAGGCUCCCAGUUCUCUGGGGGUUGACGGUAGGUGGGGAAUAAGGACCGGCUAACUACGUGCCAGCAGCCGCGGUAAUACGUAGGGUCCGAGCGUUGUCCGGAAUUAUUGGGCGUAAAGAGCUCGUAGGCGGCGUGUCGCGUCUGCUGUGAAAGACCGGGGCUUAACUCCGGUUCUGCAGUGGAUACGGGCAUGCUAGAGGUAGGUAGGGGAGACUGGAAUUCCUGGUGUAGCGGUGAAAUGCGCAGAUAUCAGGAGGAACACCGGUGGCGAAGGCGGGUCUCUGGGCCUUACCUGACGCUGAGGAGCGAAAGCAU